AAAUACGCCGUGUCGAUCACAGUGUAACAAUCUGCGCGGGAGGAAGCCACAGAGUGUUUGGCUGCGACCAACUGAGGAGGCGGGUGAUUCUUAGGACAGCAAAACCAUGACGCAGGAAUUGACUCCCGUGCGGGUUGUCCUGGUGACAGGGUCGAGUGGCUUCCUCGGCCAGCACGUGGUGAAGGAGCUCCACGAAGAAGAGCACGCUACGAUCCGAGAAAUACGACUGUUCGACAACCGACCUUACGAGAACAGAAUAGGUUUUCAUGUCUCCAAGCCCAAGGAAACGAAGGAAUACGUGGGAGACAUUUGCAACGCUGCUGAGUUGAGUGCUGCGCUGAGCGGAGUCGACGCGGUGAUUCAUUGCGCGUCUAUCGUUGACCCCAGAUUCUUCGCCGACUCCAAAGUCAUGGAACGGGUCAACGUCCAAGGUAGCUCACUGGCGUCCAUUUGUCCCGUUCCUUGCUCAGUAAAUACUUUAUUUUAAGGUGUAUUUAUACCUGAGAACUGAAAAG
Molecule: long non-coding RNA, 515 nt
Organism: Rhipicephalus sanguineus (brown dog tick)
Lineage: Eukaryota; Metazoa; Arthropoda; Arachnida; Ixodida; Ixodidae
Exons: 3
Source: RefSeq, a predicted model, not a curated record